This 580-nucleotide long non-coding RNA is filed under the name Numida meleagris (helmeted guineafowl). Its description in RNAcentral is "lncRNA (ENSNMEG00000017878.1)". Lineage: Eukaryota; Metazoa; Chordata; Aves; Galliformes; Numididae. The record is from RNAcentral.
CUGAAGCCUGCUGCUGCUCUGGAUGAGAGUAGAAACAUAUCUAAAUUAUGUUGUUCUGCUAGAAUGUAUUCAUUGGAAGAGAAUACUUAUUGAAGAACAAGUGGAGAAAUUUUCACUAAUUCUGCUUUGGUCUAGAUCCAUGUUCCACUGGGAAGAGCAGGUGUUGGUAACUACAUAUGUUUUCAAGAAAUAUAUGCAAGAGCCAAGGAACAGCAAAGCAGAACUGUGGUGUUAAAGUCUGCUGGAUGCUGCUUCACACCUGAUUGCUCUGGAGGCCUGAGGCUCACGCUGAUGCCUUCCUAGCUCUGACAUACUCUGGCUGAAGGAUGAAGCUCUUGCCUUUGUCUGGUGAAGUAACUUAUUUAGAGGAAGCCUGUGGAACUCAGAAAAUAUUGAUGACUUCUUUGAGAUCAGCAAAACUUUUUUCUUUCUUUGUCCUUCCAUGAUACUUCCAAACUCUCAUCAGCUUGACCUUCACAUCAGCUGUCUAGAAUCAGGAUCAGAAUUUUCUUAAAAUUGCUCUUACUGUUUUAGAACAGGUGGUGAAAAUGAAUAGCUGUAAGGGAAAUUUGGGUAGGAG